RNAcentral lists this ribosomal RNA (253 nucleotides) under uncultured bacterium. Its description in RNAcentral is "partial 16S ribosomal RNA". It matches the Rfam family "Bacterial small subunit ribosomal RNA", at positions 524 to 776 of the family's 1533-position model. The record is from RNAcentral.
UACGGAGGGUGCGAGCGUUAAUCGGAAUUACUGGGCGUAAAGCGCGCGUAGGUGGUUUGAUAAGCUAGCUGUGAAAGCCCCGGGCUCAACCUGGGAACUGCAGUUAGAACUGUCUGACUAGAGUACAGUAGAGGGUGGCGGAAUUUCCUGUGUAGCGGUGAAAUGCGUAGAUAUAGGAAGGAACAUCAGUGGCGAAGGCGGCCACCUGGACUGAUACUGACACUGAGGUGCGAAAGCGUGGGGAGCAAACAGG